Molecule: ribosomal RNA, 511 nt
Filed under: uncultured bacterium
Lineage: Bacteria
Description: partial 16S ribosomal RNA
Rfam family: Bacterial small subunit ribosomal RNA
Source: RNAcentral
GAUGAACGCUGGCGGCGUGCCUAAUACAUGCAAGUCGAACGAAACUUCUUUAUCACCGAGUGCUUGCACUCACCGAUAAAGAGUUGAGUGGCGAACGGGUGAGUAACACGUGGGCAACCUGCCCAAAAGAGGGGGAUAACACUUGGAAACAGGUGCUAAUACCGCAUAACCAUAGUUACCGCAUGGUAACUAUGUAAAAGGUGGCUAUACUACCGCUUUUGGAUGGGCCCGCGGCGCAUUAGCUAGUUGGUAGGGUAAAGGCUUACCAAGGCAAUGAUGCGUAGCCGAAUUGAGAGGGUGAUCGGCCACAUUGGGACUGAGAACCGGCCCAAACUCCUACGGGAGGCAGCAGUAGGGAAUCUGCCACAAUGGGCGAAAGCCUGAUGGAGCAACGCCGCGUGGGUGAAGAAGGUCUUCGGAUCGUAAAACCCUGUUGUUAGAGAAGAAAGUGCGUGAGAGUAACUGUUCACGUUUCGACGGUAUCUAACCAGAAAGCCACGGCUAACUACGG